RNAcentral lists this ribosomal RNA (326 nucleotides) under uncultured eukaryote. Its description in RNAcentral is "partial 18S ribosomal RNA". It matches the Rfam family "Eukaryotic small subunit ribosomal RNA", at positions 1470 to 1796 of the family's 1831-position model. The record is from RNAcentral.
CCCUUAGAUGUCCUGGGCCGCACGCGUGCUACACUGACACUUACACCGAGUUUUUCCAAUGCCGAAAGGCCAUUGGUAAUCAGCAAUAAGUGUCGUGAUGGGGAUAGAUCUUUGGAAUUAUUGAUCUUGAACGAGGAAUGCCUAGUAAUCGUAGGUCAUCAGCCUGCGAUGAUUACGUCCCUGCCCUUUGUACACACCGCCCGUCGCUACUACCGAUUGAACGUUUUAGUGAGGUACUCGGACUGAGCCUCAGAAGAUUCACGUCUUUUGUGCUGCUCGGGAAGAUUCCCAAACUUGNGNGUUUAUNGGAAGUAAAANUCGUANCA